This 278-nucleotide ribosomal RNA is filed under the name uncultured Cellulosilyticum sp. RNAcentral describes it as "partial 16S ribosomal RNA". It matches the Rfam family "Bacterial small subunit ribosomal RNA", at positions 511 to 788 of the family's 1533-position model. Lineage: Bacteria; Bacillati; Bacillota; Clostridia; Lachnospirales; Cellulosilyticaceae. The record is from RNAcentral.
GCAGCCGCGGUAAUACGUAUGGUGCAAGCGUUAUCCGGAUUUACUGGGUGUAAAGGGAGCGUAGACGGCUGUGUAAGUCUGAAGUGAAAGCCCGGGGCUCAACCCCGGGACUGCUUUGGAAACUAUGCAGCUAGAGUGUCGGAGAGGAAAGCGGAAUUCCCAGUGUAGCGGUGAAAUGCGUAGAUAUUGGGAGGAACACCAGUGGCGAAGGCGGCUUUCUGGACGAUGACUGACGUUGAGGCUCGAAAGCGUGGGGAGCAAACAGGAUUAGAUACCCC